RNAcentral lists this ribosomal RNA (467 nucleotides) under uncultured bacterium. RNAcentral describes it as "partial 16S ribosomal RNA". It matches the Rfam family "Bacterial small subunit ribosomal RNA", at positions 28 to 507 of the family's 1533-position model. The record is from RNAcentral.
GACGAACGCUGGCGGCGUGCUUAACACAUGCAAGUCGAACGGAAAGGCCUCUUUCGGGGGGUUCUCGAGUGGCGAACGGGUGAGUAACACGUGAGUAACCUGCCCUUGACUUUGGGAUAACUUCCGGAAACUGGGGCUAAUACCGGAUAGGAGCUACUGCUGCCUGGUGGGGGUUGGAGAGUUUCGGGGGUUGGGGAUGGACUCGCGGCGUAUCCGCUUGUUGGUGGGGUAGUGGCUUACCAAGGCGUUGACGGGUAGCCGGCCUGUGAGGGUGAGCGGCCACACUGGGACUGAGAUACGGCCCAGACUCCUACGGGAGGGAGCAGUGGGGAAGAUUGCACAAGGGGUGGAAGGCGGAUGCAGCAACGCCGUGUGCGGGAAGACGGCCUUCGGGUUGGAAAACGAUUUCGCUCAUGACGAAGCUUUGUGUGACGGUAGUGGGUAAAGAAGCACCGGCUAACUACGUG